CUACGUUGCGACUAUUUUGCGCUUGGAUAUGGGAAUAGAUACACAAUUUAAAACCCUUAUCAAGAACAAUUGGAGGGCAAGUCUGGGGGCCGCAGCCGCGGGAAUUCCCGCUCCCAUAGCGUAUAUUAAAGUUGUUGCAGGUAAAAAACCCCGAAUUGGAAUUUGGGGCGGGAUUCCUGGGCCGCCUCUUAUGGUCUGACCUGGCAGUGGGGCCCUUUUCCUGCUAGGUUGUGAUUCUUUGUAUGGUUGGCUGGGGCUAUCUCUGACUAUUACUUAGAGUAUAUUACACUGGAUUAUUCUUGUAUACUUUAGUGUAAUAUAAAAAGAAAAGAUUGAGCUUAUAUUUUGGUGUUUUUAGAACAAUUUUAUAAUUAAUAGGGAUAAUUUGGGGCAUUAAUAUUUCCAGGAUUAAUGCACGGCUGGAGGUA
RNAcentral lists this ribosomal RNA (428 nucleotides) under uncultured eukaryote. Its description in RNAcentral is "SSU rRNA". It matches the Rfam family "Eukaryotic small subunit ribosomal RNA", at positions 486 to 935 of the family's 1831-position model. The record is from RNAcentral.